UACGUAGGGGCAAGCGUUAUCCGGAUUUACUGGGGUGUAAAGGGAGCGUAGACGGUAUGGUAAGUCAGAUGUGAAAGCCCGGGGCUCAACCCCGGGACUGCAUUUGAAACUAUCAAACUGGAGUGCAGGAGAGGUAAGUGGAAUUCCUAGUGUAGCGGUGAAAUGCGUAGAUAUUAGGAGGAACACCAGUGGCGAAGGCGGCUUACUGGACUGUAACUGACGUUGAGGCUCGAAAGCGUGGGGAGCAAACAGGAUUAGAUAUUCGUGUAGUCCCUGAG
Molecule: ribosomal RNA, 278 nt
Filed under: uncultured prokaryote
Description: partial 16S ribosomal RNA
Rfam family: Bacterial small subunit ribosomal RNA
Source: RNAcentral